Long non-coding RNA from Cyprinus carpio (common carp), 1390 nucleotides. NCBI's taxonomy places the organism in Eukaryota, Metazoa, Chordata, Actinopteri, Cypriniformes, Cyprinidae. The record is from Ensembl.
AUAUAAUUGUCAUUGAACUUCAGUUCACACAGCUAAUGCUCAUUUUUACAUUUACAAAUGUUGUGAAAAUAUAGCUUAUAGGCACUUCACAAACUAUUCAUGUUAAUAUAUUAAUUAGCUCAUAAUCAUAGUCUGUAAAGGUCAUAUAUUUGGCCUUUGUAUGUUCUGUCAACUUCUACUAUUUGCACAUCUUAAAUUAUUUAUUAAUCAUUUGUUCAUGUUUUUGCAGUACCCAAUCUAAAAUGGAGUCUAUUCAUCAUUUGUAAAUGUUUAUAAAACAUUUACAAUUUUUUUUUAGUAGGCUAUCUUUAUUGGCACUGGACUUUUAGCUACUUUAACAAUGUUUGUGUAAAGGGUGGUUAGUUAAGUAAAAACAUAUCACACAUUGUAAUUUGGGUGAAAAACAUGUUUUUAUCACCUCAACACUUUUAUUAGUAUACUAUUGUGUAUCAUUGUGACGACCUGGGUAUUCAUUGGGUUUUUUCCAGUAGAAGACUGAUGACUCCGCCCCCCCGUAACCCGGUUGCAUCAGUGACACCUGUGCCCAAUUUCCCUUGCCUCUUUAAGAGAAGCAAGCUCGAUGGCAGGGGGCGCGGGCGGCCAACUUGAUUGUUUUUCGUUAUGGUUUGAUAAUGUUUCUUUUUGCAUACAUCACAGCACAUUACAUUUUCACACAUACCCUUAGGACGCAAUUACUGACUUUUGAAUACUACCAUACUUUGUUUUGUAUAGCCUAUUUGUCUUAUUUAAAUAAAACGUUUCUUUACGAAUUGGCUCUCUUAUGUCCCAGUUUUUGUUGCGUCCCCUUUUGAGUCACGGGGCGUAACAAUCAUUAAACAGAAUAUUCCUUGAGUCAUACAUCAACAGGAGGGGGCAAAAAACUAUUUUUUUCAAGAAAAUACUUCAUUUAUCAAAACAAUGCAAUAUAAACAGAUUGAAUUGUGUUCCUUUAUAGUAAUCAAAUUGACCCUUGCACACUUGUUAACCCCUUACCCAACCUUAAACCUAUACCACCAAACCUGUCCCUAACCUUAGUAUUACACCUCAACAGCAGCAAAGGUUGUGUAUUAACAAAAGAUUUUAAUCACUGUAUAACAUCUGUUAAAAUCAUUUGUAGAUUUUCAAGAUGUGCAUGAUCAUAUGAAUUAAAAGUUCAAUGAAAUUUGUAAGCAUUUGAAUGAAAUGUUAAUUAUUAGGUAAUGUUUAAUACAUUUAUUAGUAAACAUUAACAAGCACAUUAUUUCACAUUUCUAGAUAUGUGAAUAUAUACUGUAUGAACUAAUGAUCCGUUAAGCAUUACAUAAUGAUUGUUAAUUAUUUAUUAAUGAAAGUUAUUAUAAAGUGUUACAGAAUUAAUAAAUGAAUCAAGUACAUAUUUUUUACUUGUUUC